This 68-nucleotide transfer RNA is filed under the name Mesechinus wangi. RNAcentral's name for it is "tRNA-Glu". Lineage: Eukaryota; Metazoa; Chordata; Mammalia; Eulipotyphla; Erinaceidae. The record is from RNAcentral.
AUUCUUGUAGUUGAAUUACAACAAUGGUUUUUCAUAUCAUGGGUCACGAGAUUUGUCGUGCAAGAAUU